Molecule: non-coding RNA, 1559 nt
Organism: Myodes glareolus (Bank vole)
Lineage: Eukaryota; Metazoa; Chordata; Mammalia; Rodentia; Cricetidae
Source: RefSeq, a predicted model, not a curated record
AGGCGUGGCCUGCCCGGGAGAAGGGGCGGGUCAAUCGCAGAAGGCUCAGCACCGUCACUGGGGUUCGGCUGGUUUAAAGUGUGUAUGGGCUGGGGCACACCCUGGCAACUCCCUCUCUUGCCACCCGGGCAAAACAACUUUCAAUCCAAAGGGACAAUCCGAGAGAAAGGCACCACUGUGGCCUCCACACUCCACAGGAGAUCAGGAGCCAAAGCUCGCGCCUGUUUAAAGAGUUGUCACAACACUCAUGGCAAUAGGUACAAAAGAGAACUCCGGAGAAGCAUGGAAUUUACUUCAUAAAAAAGCAAACUAAAACAUCCAGAAGCCGACUCUAAAGCCUCCAGGUUAAGAUGGGACAUCUAAGAGAAAAAACAAACUGCCUCAAAAAAUAGGAAAAAAAAAAAUACCGGAGGUUCUAGGGAAGCGAACAACCCAAGGGCUCCUCCCUACAGAAGCAAUGAGGAUUGCCGAGGGGUAGCCAAGCUGCCUGAAAAAGGUUCCGGUCCGCACAGCUAUGUGGAAGAAGCCGCGAUGAACUGGGCUGCCUGGCAGGACCGGUCAAGUUGACUUGAAGAGAACUGCCUGGUGGAGUCUUCAAUCUCAGGCUGUUGGGUGUGCCCCAUGUUUCCAGCUUUCCAGAGCUAUCAACCUCACUGUGUGGCUCAGCAAAAUGGACUUUGGUAGUGUGUUUUGUGGGUUUUUGGUAAUUAUUUUAUUUAAUGUGCAUUGGUGUUUUGCCUGCAUUUAUGGAUAUGAGGGUGUCAAAUCACUUUGAGUUGCUGGAUCAGACAGUUGUGAGCUGCCAUCUUUCUGGUCCUGGUGUUUCAUGGCAGCAAUGGAAACGUGUUGACAGGUAGCAUCUUCACAUUGGUCUGUCAUCCUUCUCUGGAGUGGACAUCUGUUCACACUUCUUCAGGAAGAGGACCACACUACACUUCUGCAGCCCCAAGCCCAGGAAGCCACGAGCCCACCCACCUCAGAAACCCUCCCAAGAGCAGCCUGGACCUUGAGAAUCCACAGUCAAGAUAUAUCUGUCUGGAGCUCUGGUUCCGCUAACAGGUACCAACCAUGUCCCCCUAGGAUGUUGGCCGUCCCCAUCACUGGACUGCUUUGUGGCUGGGCCCUUUGGGGAUUAGAGGACUCACAUGUGCAGCACCCAUGCUGAGCUGAAGGGCAGCACCCUGCGCUAAUGAUGCUACCUGGCCUGAGGACUCUGCACCCCAGCAGAGCUGACCCAGCACCCAGCGCAGAGGAACCACUGACAAGACUGAGGGUCAGGGCCAGCACGCCCCCUUCACUUCCUGCCUUCUGCCUAGAAGCUAGUUUUGUCCCGGUGUCCUUCCUGUCCAGUCCUGGAGCCUCACAGCCACAAAGGUCUGGAACUGGGGGUCCAGAAGCUCCCCAUGUGGUAGGGUUCACCCCUUACAUUGAAGAACACGGUGCCUCAGGGCUGCAAUUGCAGGGACAGCAGAGAGCCCCUCCCAUCAUCCUCGAGUGACAUCUAGAAUGUGCCUUUUGCUUUAAUGUCUAUUAAAUAAUAAGUUGGUAAGAGAAACAGA